UCUAUCUAUCUAUCUAUCUAUCUAUCUAUCUAUCUAUCUAUCUAUCAAUCACCCAACACACCCACAUUCAGUCUCUGCUGGUAGAUUGUGAUGCAUAAAGAAGUUUCACAAAUUCACAUUAUACUGUAUCGUACUGUAUUUUUAUGAAUAUUUAUACAAAAACAGUUAAAUGUUUUAUUUUUUCCAUGUCAGAAAAGUUAAGCUGUACAUCCUGUUUCAGAGCAGCCACCCUCAGAGUUAGGGUGUGACAUGUUGACCCUUUUUCAGCUUUGUCAACUUUGUCAACAAAAUAUGUCAGCAGAAGAACUCUGAGGCAAGCAGGAGACAGCAGUUACCAUGUACUCCUUAACGUUAAAUGUGCAACAUCUCCAACUCAAUCACCAGAUAGUAUGUACUUUUUGACUGAUGAAUGCGUGUGUCACAGUAAAGGAGGAUGUAUUGUAUAUAUUUGACCUCGGCCACACUGACGAAUCUCUUUUCUAAAGAAAGUUUAAUCAUGUCUACUGACUAUCUACAACCUGAUCUCACAGAAUUCCGUGAAAUGAACACGGCCCCUUAACUCCAAAUCUGUGGCAGUUGCACGGAAUUGACGACAAUUCUGUGAUCGGCCCACGGAACAAUUCCGUGAAAUUAACACGGCUCCUUAAAUUCCAUGAUUGGCCCACGGAAGAAUACCGUGAAAUGAACAUGGCCCCUUAAGUUUAGGAAAAGGUUGUAUGUAGACUUACGUUUCCAUGACACACGUGUUAUGUGGGCAGCUGUUAUCUCCCCUUAUUUUGUCCCCACUUUGUCAGUGGUGUCUGUAUGUGUGUUUGUCCCCACUGUGUCUGGAGUGUCUGCAAGGAGAUCCACCUCUCUGUACAGCUGCUGGCGAUUCCGCUGAUUCUUACCUGCACAGCUGCCUCUAAUUCCACUCUCCUACCUGGCAGUAUUUAUUCCUGGGCAUGGCUCUCCACCAGUGCCAGAUAGUUGCACCUACCAGUGUGACCUACACCUCGAGACCUGCUGCCGUGGCUUGCUGUGUCGCCAGCUCAUCACACUGUUUUUUUCUUCCCUCUCAUAUGUAUUUAAUCUAGAGAGUUUGGAAGUUCCUCUGCCUGCCCGCCUCAGCCCCUUUUCCAGCCCAGAGCCGAUCUACUUUGUAUCAGCAUUCCUUGGUUACUUGAAAGAACUGAAUUGUCAUUAAAACAUUUUGUUAUAUCGUUA
Perca flavescens (yellow perch) is the source of this 1206-nucleotide long non-coding RNA. RefSeq lists it as uncharacterized. The record is from RefSeq and is a predicted model, not a curated record. The transcript is spliced from 2 exons. NCBI's taxonomy places the organism in Eukaryota, Metazoa, Chordata, Actinopteri, Perciformes, Percidae.